UUGGUGCCAUGUUUUUUGGGAAUUUUCGGCCAAAUCCAAAGGGUGGAUUUUUGGGUUCUUGUUUGACUUGUUAAAAUGUGUUUUCUAAGUGAACUUUUUGGAACCCCUAUGUACCCUAGUUUGGUUAUAUGUUAUUUCCCUUAAGUUUGAAUGGUUUUGGGUGAAAAAUGUUGAUGGAAAUUUUUUGAGUUUUUCAGGAGUGUUCUUCAUUGUUCUUGACAUUUUUGCCAAGAACAAAAAGUUUGGUGUUUUGAUUCAAAGUUUUGAUUUAUUUCAUAAAGUUUAUGUUUUAUAUUUUUCAAAUGUUUAAAUGUGUUAGAUAUUUAUUUAGAAAGGUGUAAGAAAUAUUGGUUGGCGUGUAAGGAUUAAUUCCCUUUCACACACACCACUUGCAUGACAUUUAUGUCAUGCACCACUUGCAUGACUUUAUGUCUAAAACUACAAAUCAACACACACAUCACUCCGUUCUCUCCAAAACCAGCCACCCUACAAGUGGGGUGUUUUUUGGGCUUUUAUGCAAUUACAUAAAGUUUUGGUACUUUUGUGUAAUUUGUAGUUUGACCCAAAAGUUUACGUGUUUACGUAAAGGCCCAAAAUCAUUAAAGGACAAAUUGUUUUGUUCCUUUAAUGAAGUUUUUGAAUUUGUUGAAAUUUUUGGGUUCUAGUUGUAAUUACAUGUAGUAGUGAACUUUUGUGUUUUUACAAAGUGACCCCAAAAGUUUAUGUUUUUGCAACAUAGCCCAAAAAGUUGAGGUUAUUGCAUUUUGGCCCAAAUUAGGUUGAGAACAAAAUGGUUUUGU
RNAcentral lists this long non-coding RNA (800 nucleotides) under Malus domestica (apple). Its description in RNAcentral is "long non-coding RNA (MDOM_LNC019665)". The record is from RNAcentral. Lineage: Eukaryota; Viridiplantae; Streptophyta; Magnoliopsida; Rosales; Rosaceae.